Molecule: ribosomal RNA, 492 nt
Filed under: uncultured bacterium
Lineage: Bacteria
Description: partial 16S ribosomal RNA
Rfam family: Bacterial small subunit ribosomal RNA
Source: RNAcentral
AGUGAACGCUGGCGGUAGGCCUAACACAUGCAAGUCAAACGGCAGCACAGUAAGAGCUUGCUCUUACGGGUGGCGAGUGGCGGACGGGUGAGGAAUACAUCGGAAUCUACUUUUUCGUGGGGGAUAACGUAGGGAAACUUACGCUAAUACCGCAUACGACCUACGGGUGAAAGCAGGGGAUCUUCGGACCUUGCGCGAUUGAAUGAGCCGAUGUCGGAUUAGCUAGUUGGCGGGGUAAAGGCCCACCAAGGCGACGAUCCGUAGCUGGUCUGAGAGGAUGAUCAGCCACACUGGAACUGAGACACGGUCCAGACUCCUACGGGAGGCAGCAGUGGGGAAUAUUGGACAAUGGGCGCAAGCCUGAUCCAGCCAUACCGCGUGGGUGAAGAAGGCCUUCGGGUUGUAAAGCCCUUUUGUUGGGAAAGAAAAGCAGCAGGUUAAUACCCCGCUGUUCUGACGGGACCCAAAGACUAAGCACCGGCUAACUUCGUG